This 746-nucleotide long non-coding RNA is filed under the name Varanus komodoensis (Komodo dragon). Its description in RNAcentral is "lncRNA (ENSVKKG00000009015.1)". Lineage: Eukaryota; Metazoa; Chordata; Lepidosauria; Squamata; Varanidae. The record is from RNAcentral.
AGAUCAGCAAGGACCAGAUGAGAAUCUGUCUUCCAUUAUGGAUCAGCUGCCAGCAGGCAAACCUGAAGAACUUCAGAGAUCAGAUUCUGAAGAACCCAGUUUAUUCCCAUCUGGAGUGAAUGGAAGUGCAGUGACGAUAAACUCAGCUCCACAGCCACAUCAGGAGGCUUCUGUUGUGGGUGAUGAGGAGUUGGGCAACUCUGUCCCUGAGGCUGACUUGGCUUCACAGGCCAUGGGUAAGACUGUAGAUGGGGACAGGACUCAUCCUAAAAACACUACACCUCGCUUUGAAAAUUCAGUGGACAGUGGGCCUCAGGAAGAGUUAAACAAGAAGCAGCUUACAGAAGUGCAUGGAGUUGAUUUAAAUCCUGCAGUUUCUGGAAAAGUGCCAACUGAUCCAAGCUCCAAACUAGAACAGGAAACAUGUGAAAAUAUCCAGAGGAGAAGGCUUUACCUGUCAACCCUGGAGAAGCGUGAAUUAUCUACACUGAGUCCAAUUUCAGCCUCAUUUCAUUUCACGGAUAUGUGCCUAGAAGAAUCCAGCUUCAACAAAGAAUCAGAAGAGCCAUUGGAAACUGGAAGUGACAGUGAAGAGGAAGAGGAAGAGGAAGAACAAGAACAAGAAGGAAGGAUCAAAAAGACUGAAAUAGAUUUUGAGACUGCAAAUCGGCAGAGACAAGAUGGCCUGUGGGUUCAUAGGAAGAGUAGCAAGCAAAUGCAUAUUGAUGGCCAGCAGAGUCUCACGA